CACGAACCGGCCGAACGUUAUUCGGAAUUAUUGGGCUUAAAGGGUGCGUAGGCGGUGCGGUAAGUGCGGUGUGAAAGCCCUCGGCUCAACCGAGGAAUUGCGCUGCAUACUGCCGUGCUAGAGGGAGACAGAGGUAAGCGGAACUGAUGGUGGAGCGGUGAAAUGCGUUGAUAUCAUCAGGAACACCGGUGGCGAAAGCGGCUUACUGGGUCUUCUCUGACGCUGAGGCACGAAAGCUAGGGUAGCGAACGGG
This 253-nucleotide ribosomal RNA is filed under the name uncultured bacterium. Its description in RNAcentral is "partial 16S ribosomal RNA". It matches the Rfam family "Bacterial small subunit ribosomal RNA", at positions 524 to 776 of the family's 1533-position model. The record is from RNAcentral.